This 407-nucleotide ribosomal RNA is filed under the name uncultured bacterium. Its description in RNAcentral is "bacterial SSU rRNA". It matches the Rfam family "Bacterial small subunit ribosomal RNA", at positions 355 to 774 of the family's 1533-position model. The record is from RNAcentral.
UGGGGAAUAUUGCACAAUGGGCGCAAGCCUGAUGCAGCGACGCCGCGUGAGGGAUGACGGCCUUCGGGUUGUAAACCUCUUUCAAUAGGGACGAAGCGCAAGUGACGGUACCUAUAGAAGAAGGACCGGCCAACUACGUGCCAGCAGCCGCGGUAAUACGUAGGGUCCGAGCGUUGUCCGGAAUUACUGGGCGUAAAGAGCUCGUAGGUGGUUUGUCGCGUUGUUCGUGAAAACUCACAGCUUAACUGUGGGCGUGCGGGCGAUACGGGCAGACUAGAGUACUGCAGGGNAGACUGGAAUUCCUGGUGUAGCGGUGGAAUGCGCAGAUAUCAGGAGGAACACCGGUGGCGAAGGCGGGUCUCUGGGCAGUAACUGACGCUGAGGAGCGAAAGCGUGGGGAGCGAACA